CUUCUCUUGGUUGGCACAUUUGGGUAACUGGCAGACUGUAAAACAAAGAAAAGUUAUAAUAUGAUGCAGGAUUUUUGUUUCCUGCAAAAACGACAGUGCUUGCAAGGCCUUAUGUGAUAAAAGACGAAUCACACUUUGUUGACAUGUCAAGUAUACUGUGUUCAGUGAGGCAGAGAGUUGUUGACUUGGCUAAAGGUAAAUUGAACUGUCCGAAAGAAAUUGUUUAACUGAGUUAAGGUUCAGUUAUAUUUACUGCUGUUCUACAAAUUUUCGCGAGAUAAAUCCAGCAAUUUCAAAAGGAAUUCUGGUGAUUUGGGGUAACGUUAUCGCGCGAGGACUAAAGACUUCCACAAGCAGAUUUCGCAACGGCUUCAGGUUGGUCAGGAAAUUUCGUUGCGCUGACCAACAGAACCUGACUUCUUCGUGAGCUGUUCUCCAUAUAUGGCUAUACUAUUAACAAUAGAAAACAUAACUUUUUGCAAGCAACAUUUCUCUACUGUGAUCGCCCUUUA
Molecule: long non-coding RNA, 512 nt
Organism: Sinocyclocheilus rhinocerous
Lineage: Eukaryota; Metazoa; Chordata; Actinopteri; Cypriniformes; Cyprinidae
Exons: 3
Source: RefSeq, a predicted model, not a curated record